AUGAGGUCUCCUCAGGAUAAAGAGGCUCUCUUCUUAACCCACAUCUACACCAUUUUAGACAGCAGAGGGCGCCCUACUGACAGCAUCUGAGGGACUGCCGCGAGGAAGGACCAGGCGAUCCGAGGCUGUGUGGAGAAAGCUGAUAACGCCCAAGAAUAAAGUCAAUUUAAAGAAGAAAAGCGAUGGAAACUGUUUGGAGGUGCUUUCCAGCCGCGUUCCAGAUUCUGGGUCUGGAGAUGGGGAAACAGAACCAGAGAGCAUGCCGGGAAGUGGGUAGCGUAUGGCAGUGUUAGAGCCCACGUCUUCUGAAGUCCACUCUUCUUCCCAGCACACCGUGAAACUUUGGCACAUUUCCCUUUGAAGUUCCACUGCAUUUAUUCCAGGUAAUUUUAUUCCAAGACGUGCCUUUCUUUCGGAUGGGCCUUGUUCUACCCUCACGGGUCUUCCUGACUUUGAAUCAGGGAGCAGGGUUUGGGGGUAUCAGACCCGUCUGUCUUGGAAUACGCAAUAUGCAAAUCAGCCCACUUUCUUCCUCGGAGACCAGCCCCAGCUGCCAAUGGGUAUUAUGAGGGGUUUGACUUGGAUAAAGAAAGAGAAGUUGAAAAAUCCUGUAUCAGAAAAGAAGUUCAUGGGCUAUGGGAACCAAUUUGGGGUUACCUCUGGGGAAUUAGAGAUGUUUGCUGUGCAUGUUUCCUGGAGGAUCAAAUUGCAACUGUAAGUAAAUGUUUGAGGAUCCACGUGAACAGAGGACUGAGAAGAGAAACAAGGCAGGCUCUUAGUGCCUCAGUGCACUUUCCUUUUCUCAUCAUCCACUAAAUUAUGAAUUUAAUGAAGUUACUCUGAUACCUAUGAAGUCAAAUGAGAGUUCAGUGUAUUUUUGAUUGAAUUAUCCAGUUUGACUAUUGACAU
RNAcentral lists this long non-coding RNA (909 nucleotides) under Equus asinus (donkey). RNAcentral's name for it is "lncRNA (ENSEASG00005038300.1)". Lineage: Eukaryota; Metazoa; Chordata; Mammalia; Perissodactyla; Equidae. The record is from RNAcentral.